Molecule: long non-coding RNA, 449 nt
Filed under: Coffea arabica (coffee)
Lineage: Eukaryota; Viridiplantae; Streptophyta; Magnoliopsida; Gentianales; Rubiaceae
Description: long non-coding RNA (CARA_LNC001957)
Source: RNAcentral
UUCCAAAUAGUUAUAUACUUCAAACUUGUUCAGGAAUAGAUAAUGAAAUAUUAGCUUUUAUGUGCAACAUAUUAUAUAUACCAUAGGUAUUCAUCAAAACAACCAAAAUAAUAUCGUUGUGACUACAGCUUUUAAAGCAUUCCAAAAGAGCCUACUAACAAAAGAGGGAACAUUAUCCUAUUUGAUUAGGAAGUGAAUUAACAAAAACAAGUUCCAUACUAAAUUGUCUAAAAGAGAUUGAUUAAGGAACAAAUUUCAUCAACCCAAAAGUCAGCAGCAUCAUCUUUUCAUAAAUCUAUUUAAUCUUUAUGGACAUAAAUUCCAGCAACAGAAGUUUGGGAUGAGAACAUCACAGUGCCAAGUCUACUGUUUUGUUUUUGAAUCUAGUACAAAAAGUUUAACUAUCAAUACUAAUUACAUGCUUAAAUUUAGCACCAAAAAAAAAAAAG